This 602-nucleotide long non-coding RNA is filed under the name Mytilus galloprovincialis (Mediterranean mussel). The record is from RNAcentral. Lineage: Eukaryota; Metazoa; Mollusca; Bivalvia; Mytilida; Mytilidae.
UUUGGUAUUAAAAUAGAUUCGUAUUUUGAAUGAUAUCAAUAUUUCACAAUACUUAUAGUUAUCAAGGGUACCAGGCUUAUAAUUUAGUACGCCCUACGCGCGUUUUGUCUUCAGAAGACUCAUCAGUGACGCUCAAAUCAAAAUACUUUUGUAGUUAGAAAACCAAACAAGUAUAAAGUUAAAGAUCAUUGUGGACCGAAAAUUCAAAAAAGUUGUGUCAAAUACGGCUAAGGUAAUCCAUAGAUGUAAUACCCAUUACAUCUAUGGGUAAUCUAUGCCUGGGAUUUGAAAACCCUUAGUAUUUUGAAUAAUUCAUACUUUUGCAAACAGUAUAAAAUAACAACAUAAUUUAUAUUCAUGUCAACACCGAAUUGUUGACUACUGGGCUGGUGGUACACUCGGGGACGAAACGUCAACCAGCAUUGGGAUCGACCCAGUGGUGUUAAUAGUUAUCAAAGGUACCAGGCUCAUAAUUUAAGCAUUGAGAUUUAUACCUACUACCUCAAACCAAAAACAUUGUGCUUCAUACUGGACACAGCAUGACAAGCAAUAAUAAACCAACCAUCAACUAAUUGUCUAAUAAAAGACAAAUUAUCCAUUUU